This 253-nucleotide ribosomal RNA is filed under the name uncultured bacterium. RNAcentral's name for it is "partial 16S ribosomal RNA". It matches the Rfam family "Bacterial small subunit ribosomal RNA", at positions 524 to 776 of the family's 1533-position model. The record is from RNAcentral.
UACGAAGGGGGCGAGCGUUGUUCGGAUUUACUGGGCGUAAAGGGCGCGUAGGCGGCCUUGUCAGUCAGGCGUGAAAGCCCCGGGCUCAACCUGGGAACGGCGCUUGGGACGGCGAGGCUGGAGUUCGGGAGAGGAGAGUGGAAUUCCCAGUGUAGAGGUGAAAUUCGUAGAUAUUGGGAAGAACACCGGUGGCGAAGGCGGCUCUCUGGACCGAGACUGACGCUGAGGCGCGAAAGCGUGGGGAGCAAACAGG